AGGUGCGAUCAUACUAGCACUAACAUACCGGAUCCCAUCGAAACUCCAAAGUUAAACGUGUUCGGGCGAGAGAGUACUGAGACGGGCUUUGUCGCAGGAU
Molecule: ribosomal RNA, 100 nt
Filed under: Cephalotus follicularis
Lineage: Eukaryota; Viridiplantae; Streptophyta; Magnoliopsida; Oxalidales; Cephalotaceae
Source: RNAcentral